CUACGGGGCGCAGCAGUGAGGAAUAUUGCACAAUGGGGGGAACCCUGAUGCAGCAACGCCGCGUGGAGGAUGACGCAUUUCGGUGUGUAAACUCCUUUUAUAUGUCAAGAAAAUGACGGUAGCAUAUGAAUAAGCACCGGCUAACUCCGUGCCAGCAGCCGCGGUAAUACGGAGGGUGCAAGCGUUACUCGGAAUCACUGGGCGUAAAGGACGCGUAGGCGGGUUGGAAAGUCAGGUGUGAAAUCCUACAGCUUAACUGUAGAACUGCACUUGAAACUUCUAAUCUAGAGUAUGGGAGGGGGAGAUGGAAAUAGUGGUGGAGGGGUAAAAUCCGUAGAAAUCACUAGGAAUACCUAAAGCGAAGGCGAUCUCCUGGAACAUUACUGACGCUAAGGCGUGAAAGCGUGGGGAGCAAACAGGAUUAGAUACCCGCGUAGUC
Molecule: ribosomal RNA, 439 nt
Filed under: uncultured bacterium
Lineage: Bacteria
Description: partial 16S ribosomal RNA
Rfam family: Bacterial small subunit ribosomal RNA
Source: RNAcentral